Molecule: ribosomal RNA, 253 nt
Filed under: uncultured bacterium
Lineage: Bacteria
Description: partial 16S ribosomal RNA
Rfam family: Bacterial small subunit ribosomal RNA
Source: RNAcentral
UACGAAGGGGGCAAGCGUUGUUCGGAAUUACUGGGCGUAAAGCGCACGUAGGCGGAUUGUUAAGUCAGGGGUGAAAUCCCGAGGCUCAACCUCGGAACUGCCUUUGAUACUGGCAAUCUCGAGUCCGGAAGAGGUGAGUGGAAUUCCUAGUGUAGAGGUGAAAUUCGUAGAUAUUAGGAAGAACACCAGUGGCGAAGGCGGCUCACUGGUCCGGUACUGACGCUGAGGUGCGAAAGCGUGGGGAGCAAACAGG